This 89-nucleotide signal recognition particle RNA is filed under the name human gut metagenome. Its description in RNAcentral is "Bacterial small signal recognition particle RNA". It matches the Rfam family "Bacterial small signal recognition particle RNA". From Rfam's summary of the family: The signal recognition particle (SRP) is a universally conserved ribonucleoprotein involved in the co-translational targeting of proteins to membranes. Archaeal SRP consists of a 7S RNA and homologues of the eukaryotic SRP19 and SRP54 proteins. The record is from RNAcentral.
UUGGGUCCCGUGCGAUCCUUCUGUGUGAACCAUGUCAGGACCGGAAGGUAGCAGCAUUAAGCAUUCGAUGGAUGUGCUGCGGGGCUGCC